Molecule: non-coding RNA, 54 nt
Organism: Salmo salar (Atlantic salmon)
Lineage: Eukaryota; Metazoa; Chordata; Actinopteri; Salmoniformes; Salmonidae
Source: Rfam
UGCAUUCUCUACUGUAAGUCGCUCUGGAUAAGAGCAUCUGCUAAAUGACUAAAA